RNAcentral lists this ribosomal RNA (253 nucleotides) under uncultured bacterium. Its description in RNAcentral is "partial 16S ribosomal RNA". It matches the Rfam family "Bacterial small subunit ribosomal RNA", at positions 524 to 776 of the family's 1533-position model. The record is from RNAcentral.
GAGGGAGGGGGCUAGAGUUGUUCGGAAUGACUGGGCGUAAAGGGCGUGUAGGAUGUAGAUCUAGUCAGGCGUGAAAGCCUUGGGCUUAACCUGAGAAUUGCGUUUGAUACUGGUUGACUUGAGGAUGGGAGAGGAAAUCGGAAUUCCGAGUGUAGAGGUGAAAUUCGUAGAUAUUCGGAGGAACAUCAGAGGCGAAGGCGGCUUUCUGGACCAUAUCUGACGCUGAGGCGCGAAAGCGUGAGGAGCAAACAGG